GACGAACGCUGGCGGCGUGCCUAAUACAUGCAAGUUGAGCGAUGAAGAUUGGUGCUUGCCCCAAUUUGAAGAGCAGCGAACGGGUGAGUAACGCGUGGGGAAUCUGCCUUUGAGCGGGGGACAACAUUUGGAAACGAAUGCUAAUACCGCAUAACAACUUUAAACAUAAGUUUUAAGUUUGAAAGAUGCAAUUGCAUCACUCAAAGAUGAUCCCGCGUUGUAUUAGCUAGUUGGUGAGGUAAAGGCUCACCAAGGCGAUGAUACAUAGCCGACCUGAGAGGGUGAUCGGCCACAUUGGGGCUGAGACACGGCCCAAACUCCUACGGGAGGCAGCAGUAGGGAAUCUUCGGCAAUGGACGAAAGUCUGACCGAGCAACGCCGCGUGAGUGAAGAAGGUUUUCGGAUCGUAAAACUCUGUUGGUAGAGAAGAACGUUGGUGAGAGUGGAAAGCUCAUCAAGUGACGGUAACUACCCAGAAAGGGACGGCUAACUACGUG
RNAcentral lists this ribosomal RNA (497 nucleotides) under uncultured bacterium. Its description in RNAcentral is "partial 16S ribosomal RNA". It matches the Rfam family "Bacterial small subunit ribosomal RNA", at positions 28 to 507 of the family's 1533-position model. The record is from RNAcentral.